AUUGAACGCUGGCGGCAGGCCUAACACAUGCAAGUCGAACGAGUGGCGGACGGGUGAGCAAUUUCUGGGAAACUGCCUGAUGGAGGGGGAUAACUACUGGAAACGGUAGCUAAUACCGCAUACCAUCCUAUGUGUCCAGAUGGGAUUAGCUAGUUGGGGGGGUAACGGCUCACCAAGGCGACGAUCCCUAGCUGGUCUGAGAGGAUGACCAGCCACACUGGAACUGAGACACGGUCCAGACUCCUACGGGAGGCAGCAGUGGGGAAUAUUGCACAAUGGGCGAAAGCCUGAUGCAGCCAUGCCGCGUGUAUGAAGAAGGUCUUCGGGUUGUAAAGUACUUUCGGCGGGGAGGCGUUACCCGAAGAAGAAGCACCGGCUAACUCCGUGCCAGCAGCCGCGGUAAUAC
RNAcentral lists this ribosomal RNA (406 nucleotides) under uncultured bacterium. RNAcentral's name for it is "partial 16S ribosomal RNA". It matches the Rfam family "Bacterial small subunit ribosomal RNA", at positions 30 to 526 of the family's 1533-position model. The record is from RNAcentral.